GACGAACGCUGGCGGCGUGCUUAACACAUGCAAGUCGAACGGUGAAGCGCCUUCCUUUUUGGUGGGUGUGGAUGAGUGGCGAACGGGUGGGUAACACGUGAGUAACCUGCCCCCUUCUUCUGGAUAACCGCAUGAAAGUGUGGCUAAUACGGGAUAUUCUGGGUCUGUCGCAUGAUGGGUCUGGGAAAGAUAUUGUUUCGGUGGGGGAUGGGCUCGCGGCCUAUCAGCUUGUUGGUGGGGUGAUGGCCUACCAAGGCGGUGACGGGUAGCCGGCCUGAGAGGGUGGACGGUCACACUGGGACUGAGACACGGCCCAGACUCCUACGGGAGGCAGCAGUGGGGAAUAUUGCACAAUGGGCGCAAGCCUGAUGCAGCGACGCCGCGUGAGGGAUGGAGGCCUGCGGGUUGUGAACCUCUUUCGCCAGUGAAGCAGGCCUGCCUCGUUUGUGGGUGGGUUGACGGUAGCUGGAUAAGAAGCGCCGGCUAACUACGUG
Molecule: ribosomal RNA, 494 nt
Filed under: uncultured bacterium
Lineage: Bacteria
Description: partial 16S ribosomal RNA
Rfam family: Bacterial small subunit ribosomal RNA
Source: RNAcentral